AAUAGAUACCCUGGUAGUCCACGCCGUAAACGAUGAGUGCUAAGUGUUAGAGGGUUUCCGCCCUUUAGUGCUGCAGCUAACGCAUUAAGCACUCCGCCUGGGGAGCACGGCCGCAAGGCUGAAACUCAAAGGAAUUGACGGGGGGCCCGCACAAGCGGUGGAGCAUGUGGUUUAAUUCGAAGCAACGCGAAGAACCUUACCAGGUCUUGACAUCCUCUGCCAACCCUAGAGAUAGGGCGUUCCCCCUUCGGGGGACAGAGUGACAGGUGGUGCAUGGUUGUCGUCAGCUCGUGUCGUGAGAUGUUGGGUUAAGUCCCGCAACGAGCGCAACCCUUGAUCUUAGUUGCCAGCAUUCAGUUGGGCACUCUAAGGUGACUGCCGGUGACAAACCGGAGGAAGGUGGGGAUGACGUCAAAUCAUCAUGCCCCUUAUGACCUGGGCUACACACGUGCUACAAUGGAUGGUACAAAGAGCUGCGAACCCGGCGAGGGUAAGCGAAUCUCAUAAAGCCAUUCUCAGUUCGGAUUGUA
RNAcentral lists this ribosomal RNA (530 nucleotides) under uncultured bacterium. RNAcentral describes it as "bacterial SSU rRNA". It matches the Rfam family "Bacterial small subunit ribosomal RNA", at positions 777 to 1302 of the family's 1533-position model. The record is from RNAcentral.